AUGCAGCAGGGCCCGGCCCAACGUGGGUGCUUGGUUAAUGGCUGUGGGACCAACGCAUACCCCCGGGAACCGGGUGCUGGCGAUGGCAGCAGCCGCCGGUCCACAGGGCACAUUUUGGAUUUUGACCUUCCAGCUGCUUUAACCCAGGCGGGCCCCGCCGUUCCGCGGCCAGCGCAGACUGCACCGCCCUUCGCUCACCGGGGAGGGGGAGGCUACAGGGCGCUUUUGGAUGAGCUGGCCCCAGCACCCGCCCCCUUUCCGCCCGGGUUCGGUCCAGGGGGCCUCAAGAUGUCAUCAAGUUGAGAUGAGGUCAUUCUGGAUGAGAGUGGGCCCUAAAUCCAGUGACUGGUGUCCUUACAAGAAGAGGGAAACAUGGACCCAGACACAUGACCCACACAGGGAGAGCGCCAUGUGAGGACGGAGGUGGAGAUUGGAGUGAUGGCUCUACAAGCAAGGGCGCAAAAGGUUGCCAACAGCCACCAGGAGCCGGGAGGGAGGCAUGGGGCAGUAAAGGUGAUUCUGCAAGUGGAAAUCCUGCAAAGCAAUCUUGACAAUUGUAGGGUAUUGUGAAUCCACUAGAAACCACCGAAUUUUGGUGAAUUGACGUUAUGUGAAUUUUAUCUCAAUAAAAACUGCUUUUAUUUUA
Herpailurus yagouaroundi (jaguarundi) is the source of this 646-nucleotide long non-coding RNA. RefSeq lists it as uncharacterized. NCBI's taxonomy places the organism in Eukaryota, Metazoa, Chordata, Mammalia, Carnivora, Felidae. The transcript has 2 exons. The record is from RefSeq and is a predicted model, not a curated record.